CAGUCGCCGCGGUAAUACGUAGGUGGCAAGCGUUGUCCGGAAUUAUUGGGCGUAAAGGGCUCGCAGGCGGUUUCUUAAGUCUGAUGUGAAAGCCCCCGGCUCGACCGGGGAGGGUCAUUGGAAACUGGGAAACUUGAGUGCAGAAGAGGAGAGUGGAAUUCCACGUGUAGCGGUGAAAUGCGUAGAGAUGUGGAGGAACACCAGUGGCGAAGGCGACUCUCUGGUCUGUAACUGACGCUGAGGAGCGAAAGCGUGGGGAGCGAACAGGAUUAGAUACCCCAGUAGUCCCUGUCUCUUAUAC
This 301-nucleotide ribosomal RNA is filed under the name uncultured bacterium. Its description in RNAcentral is "partial 16S ribosomal RNA". It matches the Rfam family "Bacterial small subunit ribosomal RNA", at positions 509 to 807 of the family's 1533-position model. The record is from RNAcentral.